AGUUUGAUCCUGGCUCAGAAUGAACGUUGGCGGCGUGGAUUAGGCAUGCAAGUCGUACGCUCCGCAAGGGGCGUGGCGCAAGGGUGAGCAAGGCGACGGCAACCCACCCCAAGGUCGGGCAUAGCCGAGGGAAACCUCGGGUAAUUCCCGGCGACGUCGUCGAGCGGCAUCGCUCGACGACCAAAGGUGCGAUUCCGCCUUGGGACGGACCGUCGUGGUAUCAGGUGGUUGGCGGGGUAACGGCCCACCAAGCCUUAGACGCCUACCGGGCGUGCGAGCGCGGCCCGGCACACUGGGACUGAGACACUGCCCAGACUCCUACGGGAGGCUGCAGUCGAGAAUCUUCGGCAAUGGGCGCAAGCCUGACCGAGCGACGCCGCGUGGGGGAUGAAGGCCCUUGGGUUGUAAACCCCUGUCGAGGGGGAGCAAGGACGAUUGCAGAAAUCGUCUUGAGCGAUCCCUGGAGGAAGCACGGGCUAAGUUCGUGCCAGCAGCCGCGGUAAGACGAACCGUGCGAACGUUAUUCGGAAUCACUGGGCUUAAAGCGCGUGUAGGCGGGACGGCACGUCCGUCGUUGAAAGCCCCCGGCUCAACCGGGGAAUCGGCGCGGAUACGACCGUCCUCGAGGGGCGUAGGGGGACAGGGAACUUCCGGUGGAGCGGUGAAAUGCGUUGAGAUCGGAAGGAACACCCGUGGCGAAAGCGCUGUCCUGGACGCCUUGCUGACGCUGAGACGCGAAAGCUAGGGGAGCAAACGGGAUUAGAUACCCCGGUAGUCCUAGCCGUAAACCAUGGGCACUGGGUAGGGGGCUCGCCGAUGGGCUCCCUGCCGCAGCGAAAGCGUGAAGUGCCCCGCCUGGGGAGUAUGGUCGCAAGGCUGAAACUCAAAGGAAUUGACGGGGGCUCACACAAGCGGUGGAGCAUGUGGCUUAAUUCGAGGCUACGCGCAGAACCUUAUCCCAGGCUUGACAUGCACGGAUUAGCCGGCGGAAACGUCGGCGAGGCCGCAAGGUACAACGUGCACAGGUGCUGCAUGGCUGUCGUCAGCUCGUGUCGUGAGAUGUUGGGUUAAGUCCCGUAACGAGCGAAACCCUUGCCCUUAGUUGCCAGCGGGUAAAGCCGGGAACUCUAAGGGGACCGCCGGCGUUAAGCCGGAGGAAGGCGGGGAUGACGUCAAGUCCUCAUGGCCCUUAUGCCUGGGGCUGCACACGUGCUACAAUGGGCCGGACAAAGCGUCGCAAUGUCGCAAGGCGGAGCCAAUCGCAAAAACCGGUCCUCAGUUCGGAUCGCGGGCUGCAACCCGCCCGCGUGAAGCUGGAAUCGCUAGUAAUCGCGGAUCAGCACUGCCGCGGUGAAUGUGUUCCUGAGCCUUGUACACACCGCCCGUCAAGCCACCAAAGCGGGGGGCACCCGAAGUCGCCCAAGCCUCACGGCAGGCGCCGAAGGUGAAACCCGUGAUGGGGACUAAGUCGUAACAAGGUAACCAA
This 1486-nucleotide ribosomal RNA is filed under the name uncultured Singulisphaera sp. RNAcentral's name for it is "bacterial SSU rRNA". It matches the Rfam family "Bacterial small subunit ribosomal RNA". The record is from RNAcentral. Lineage: Bacteria; Pseudomonadati; Planctomycetota; Planctomycetia; Isosphaerales; Isosphaeraceae.